This 379-nucleotide ribosomal RNA is filed under the name Thomisops piger. RNAcentral describes it as "partial 16S ribosomal RNA". The stretch from base 128 to 379 matches the Rfam family "Bacterial large subunit ribosomal RNA", at positions 2079 to 2603 of the family's 2925-position model. Lineage: Eukaryota; Metazoa; Arthropoda; Arachnida; Araneae; Thomisidae. The record is from RNAcentral.
GCUAAGGUAGUAUAAUCAUUUGUCUUUUAAUUAAAGACUAGAACAAAAGAUUUAACAUUUAAAUUCCUUUAUUAAUUCUAUUUAUUAAAAUUAUUUUUUAUGUAAAAAAACAUUAAUAAAAAAAACAGACGAUAAGACCCUAUUGAACUUUACUUAAGUUUAACUGGGGAAGUUAAUUAAUUAUUACUUUAAAUUAUAAAAAUACAUUAAUGACCUAAUACAAUUAACUAAAUGAUCAAGUUACCAUAGGGAUAACAGUGUAAUAUUAUUUUAAAGAUCUUAUUUAAAAUAAAACUUGCAACCUCGAUGUUGACUUAAUAACCUAUUUUACGCAAUAGUAAAAAAAGGAAGUCUGUUCGACUUUUAAAUAAUUACAUGA